RNAcentral lists this long non-coding RNA (472 nucleotides) under Homo sapiens (human). RNAcentral describes it as "DSG1 antisense RNA 1". Lineage: Eukaryota; Metazoa; Chordata; Mammalia; Primates; Hominidae. The record is from RNAcentral.
AUUGAUAAAUAAACAAAUCCUGUUGCUGCUCACCAAGAGGACUGCUUAACAGAUUUACCCAUGUGAGAGGUGGCUCGCUUACAAGUUAAUGCCCACGCACCCAAAGGGCCAGCUCCUGCAUUUUUUCACUUCACCGAUGCCAAAGCCACUUUGCCCACCUUUGCAGCAGACGCAGGGAAUUAACUAUCUCAAGAAGUGGCCCUUAGUUAUUAACUGAUGGCAGCUGGUCCCAGGGUAUCCAAGAAGCUGUCAUCCAGGUCUUCUCCAAUGAAGCUACAACAACCCACAGAGCCAGCAGGGGAACCUACACCUUCGAUGUCAUAUAUGAGCAAACAGUCAUUAGAUGGGCGUCCUUCAUCUUCAUCUGCAUGGACUUAUUUAUAAUUGUGUACUUUGGACAUAAAACCAUACACAAAAAAAUCACAUGAAUUGGUUUCGAGGAGGAGCCAAGAUGGCCGAAUAGGAACAGCUC